Molecule: non-coding RNA, 129 nt
Organism: Paramuricea clavata
Lineage: Eukaryota; Metazoa; Cnidaria; Anthozoa; Malacalcyonacea; Plexauridae
Source: the annotation of a GenBank genome assembly
AUCGUAAAUUUUUAUUUAAAACACGAGCUUUCGACUGCCAGUCUGCAGUCUUCGACAGGUAAAGUGACUUUACCUGUCUAAGACUGCAGACUGGCAGUCGAAAGCUCGUGUUUUAAAUAAAAAUUUACA